CUGUGCAAGUUUCUUGGUGACACUGCCAGUGCUGGGACUAUACAAAAUGCAUCCAGUCCACACUGUAAAGUGGUUGGCAUUUGGAAGGGCAUCCAGCUGUAAAAAUCAUACCAAAACUUAUCUUGGCUGUG
Molecule: long non-coding RNA, 131 nt
Organism: Octopus sinensis (East Asian common octopus)
Lineage: Eukaryota; Metazoa; Mollusca; Cephalopoda; Octopoda; Octopodidae
Exons: 3
Source: RefSeq, a predicted model, not a curated record